Molecule: ribosomal RNA, 253 nt
Filed under: uncultured bacterium
Lineage: Bacteria
Description: partial 16S ribosomal RNA
Rfam family: Bacterial small subunit ribosomal RNA
Source: RNAcentral
CACGUAGGGGCCAAGCGUUGUCCGGAUUUAUUGGGCGUAAAGAGCUCGUAGGCGGUUCAGCAAGUCGGGUGUGAAAACUCUGGGCUCAACCCAGAGACGCCACCCGAUACUGCUGUGACUAGAGUCCGGUAGGGGAGUGGGGAAUUCCUGGUGUAGCGGUGAAAUGCACAGAUAUCAGGAGGAACACCGGUGGCGAAGGCGCCACUCUGGGCCGGCACUGACGCUGAGGAGCGAAAGCGUGGGUAGCAAACAG